Molecule: non-coding RNA, 159 nt
Filed under: Clostridium sp.
Lineage: Bacteria; Bacillati; Bacillota; Clostridia; Eubacteriales; Clostridiaceae
Also listed under: 1 other name
Description: GlcN6P sequence
Rfam family: glmS glucosamine-6-phosphate activated ribozyme aptamer
About the family: This entry contains a glucosamine-6-phosphate activated ribozyme that is found in the mRNA for GlmS. GlmS is an enzyme that uses fructose-6-phosphate and glutamine to generate glucosamine-6-phosphate. The ribozyme catalyses self cleavage of the glmS mRNA that is thought to regulate GlmS activity.
Source: RNAcentral
GAAAGAAUAUAAGCGCCAGAACUCAUGUAGGGGUAGUUGACGAGGAAGAAGCGUAUCGAAAAUAUUCGGCGGAUACUUCUCGCCCAUUUGUACAGGGACGCAGGUUUUCUACAAAAAUAAAAGGGAAACUUUUUAUACAAAAAGAAAGCAACGUACAAA